RNAcentral lists this ribosomal RNA (468 nucleotides) under uncultured bacterium. RNAcentral's name for it is "partial 16S ribosomal RNA". It matches the Rfam family "Bacterial small subunit ribosomal RNA", at positions 28 to 507 of the family's 1533-position model. The record is from RNAcentral.
GACGAACGCUGGCGGCGUGCUUAACACAUGCAAGUCGAACGGAAAGGCCCUGCUUUUGUGGGGUGCUCGAGUGGCGAACGGGUGAGUAACACGUGAGUAACCUGCCCUUGACUUUGGGAUAACUUCAGGAAACUGGGGCUAAUACCGGAUAGGAGCUCCUGCUGCAUGGUGGGGGUUGGAAAGUUUCGGCGGUUGGGGAUGGACUCGCGGCUUAUCAGCUUGUUGGUGGGGUAGUGGCUUACCAAGGCUUUGACGGGUAGCCGGCCUGAGAGGGUGACCGGCCACAUUGGGACUGAGAUACGGCCCAUACUCCUACGGGAGGCAGCAGUGGGGAAUAUUGCACAAAGGGCGGAAGCCUGAUGCAGCAACGCCGCGUGCGGGAUGACGGCCUUCGGGUUGUAAACCGCUUUCGCCUGUGACGAAGCGUGAGUGACGGUAAUGGGUAAAGAAGCACCGGCUAACUACGUG